RNAcentral lists this ribosomal RNA (459 nucleotides) under uncultured bacterium. RNAcentral describes it as "bacterial SSU rRNA". It matches the Rfam family "Bacterial small subunit ribosomal RNA", at positions 8 to 503 of the family's 1533-position model. The record is from RNAcentral.
AGAGUUUGAUCCUGGCUCAGGAUGAACGCUAGCGGUGCGCCUAAUACAUGCAAGUCGAGCGGUAACAUGCCUUCGGGUGAUGACUAGCGGCGAACGGCUGAGUAACACGUUGAUACCUACCCCGCACUCAGGGAUAACUUACUGAAAAGUAAGCUAAUACCGGAUGGUCUCGUAAGAGUAAAGCUUUUGCGGUGCGGGAGGGGUCUGCGGCCUAUCAGUUAGUUGGUGAGGUAAUGGCUUACCAAGACUAUGACGGGUAGCUGAUGUGAGAGCAUGAUCAGCCAGAAUGGAACUGAGACACGGUCCAUACUCCUACGGGAGGCAGCAGUAGGGAAUCUUCCGCAAUGGACGAAAGUCUGACGGAGCGACACCGCGUGAAGGAUGACACCUCUAGGGGCGUAAACUUCUUUUCUGAGUGAUGAAAUUUUGACAUUAGCUCAGAAUAAGCACCGCUAAUUA